GACGAACGCUGGCGGCGUGCUUAACACAUGCAAGUCGAACGGAAAGGCCCUGCUUUUGUGGGGUGCUCGAGUGGCGAACGGGUGAGUAACACGUGAGUAACCUGCCCUUGACUUUGGGAUAACUUCAGGAAACUGGGGCUAAUACCGGAUAGGAGCUCCUGCUGCAUGGUGGGGGUUGGAAAGUUUCGGCGGUUGGGGAUGGACUCGCGGCUUAUCAGCUUGUUGGUGGGGUAGUGGCUUACCAAGGCUUUGACGGGUAGCCGGCCUGGGAGGGUGACCGGCCACCUUGGGACUGGGGUACGGCCCCGACUCCUACGGGAGGCAACAGUGGGGAAUAUUGCACAAUGGGCGGAAGCCUGAUGCCACAACGCCGCGUGCGGGAUGACGGCCUUCGGGUUGUAAACCGCUUUCGCCUGUGACGAAGCGUGAGUGACGGUAAUGGGUAAAGAAGCACCGGCUAACUACGUG
RNAcentral lists this ribosomal RNA (468 nucleotides) under uncultured bacterium. RNAcentral's name for it is "partial 16S ribosomal RNA". It matches the Rfam family "Bacterial small subunit ribosomal RNA", at positions 28 to 507 of the family's 1533-position model. The record is from RNAcentral.